RNAcentral lists this ribosomal RNA (362 nucleotides) under uncultured rumen bacterium. RNAcentral describes it as "bacterial SSU rRNA". It matches the Rfam family "Bacterial small subunit ribosomal RNA", at positions 20 to 363 of the family's 1533-position model. The record is from RNAcentral.
UGGCUCAGGAUGAACGCUGGCGGCGUGCCUAACACAUGCAAGUCGAACGGAGUUAUUUUGACGGAUUCCUUCGGGAUGACGGAUUUUUAACUUAGUGGCGGACGGGUGAGUAACGCGUGAGUAACCUGCCUCUAAGAGGGGAAUAACGUUCUGAAAAGAUCGCUAAUACCGCAUAACAUAUUGAAGCCGCAUGACUUUGAUAUCAAAGAUUUAUCGCUUAGAGAUGGACUCGCGUCCGAUUAGCUUGUUGGCGGGGUAACGGCCCACCAAGGCGACGAUCGGUAGCCGGACUGAGAGGUUGAACGGCCACAUUGGGACUGAGACACGGCCCAGACUCCUACGGGAGGCAGCAGUGGGGAAUA